Long non-coding RNA from Pistacia vera, 265 nucleotides. RefSeq lists it as uncharacterized. Lineage: Eukaryota; Viridiplantae; Streptophyta; Magnoliopsida; Sapindales; Anacardiaceae. The transcript is spliced from 3 exons. The record is from RefSeq and is a predicted model, not a curated record.
UUUUUUUUUUUACAGGAUGAUGCUCAUAUUUUCUGCAGGGAGUCCCAGAUAAAAGAUGAAGUAAGAGGUGUCCUGGAAUUCAUCGAUUAUGCUUACACGAUAUUCGGGUUCAAAUAUGAGCUGAAGCUAUCAACUAGGCCAGAAAAUUAUCUGGGUAACUUGGCCACAUGGGAGAAAGCCGAAGCUGCUCUUACAGAAGCAUUGACUGAGUUUGGUAAACCCUGGCAGGUAAUUUUUUUCUUUACCUUUAAUAAAUUAUAAAUGU